This 256-nucleotide ribosomal RNA is filed under the name uncultured prokaryote. RNAcentral describes it as "partial 16S ribosomal RNA". It matches the Rfam family "Bacterial small subunit ribosomal RNA", at positions 522 to 777 of the family's 1533-position model. The record is from RNAcentral.
AAUACAGAGGUCCCAAGCGUUGUUCGGAUUCACUGGGCGUAAAGGGUGCGUAGGUGGCCGGGUAAGUCUGAUGUGAAAUCUCCGAGCUCAACUCGGAAACUGCAUCGGAUACUAUCCGGCUCGAGGGUUGGAGGGGGGACUGGAAUUCUCGGUGUAGCAGUGAAAUGCGUAGAUAUCGAGAGGAACACCAGUGGCGAAGGCGAGUCCCUGGACAACUCCUGACGCUGAGGCACGAAAGCUAGGGGAGCAAACAGGA